Varroa destructor (honeybee mite) is the source of this 967-nucleotide long non-coding RNA. RefSeq lists it as uncharacterized. Lineage: Eukaryota; Metazoa; Arthropoda; Arachnida; Mesostigmata; Varroidae. The record is from RefSeq and is a predicted model, not a curated record.
CUCAAGCAACGAAGGUUUAUAAAACAGAUUCACCUAAGAGUUGAAACUUGUUUUCGAUUUAUGUAGGGAAAUACGAGGAUUACGUUGUACACAAAAGUCCCAUUGAGACGAAUUAGCCCAUAUUGUAGGACUUGAAUCGUUGAUCGAAGAUGCAGAGUCGUACGUCAUGGCGAAACUUUAAUCGGGGAAUAACUUCAUCGACUGUCACUCGCGGUGUCACGUAUAGAUCCGUCUAACAUUUUACUUGUAAGGGUUCAGCCCAGCUGCAACGUUGGUACGUUAACGAUAUGUGAAACGAAUCUUGUGAAUGAUGUGUUUAUGUGAAGCCAAUACGGUCCGCUUGACGAGCAGCACGUACGUACAAACGUUUCUCUAUGAAAAGGCUAGUCAGCCGAAAACGAAAAUUCUAACGAUAACCAAAAAUAACACAAAUCUUAAUUAGGCUAACAUGAAAUAGAUGGCUCUCACAAGAAAUCGAAGAAGAGAUAUUGUGUAAUGCUUCUAGCCGUUUCUACCGCCUAGUUAUCAUGACAAAAGCCUACUAUAACGUGCUGCUGGUGACAAGUAUGCGUUCAGAUAGGGCAGGUGCCGGCUGAGCGUAGGCCCGCUAUGACUGACCGAACGACAUGGUCUAUAUGACGGAUGUUUUCCGCAGGCGGAAACAGGGCUCGACCGCCUGUUCAGUAUGUUAGUGAAGAUAUUAUUUCUCAAAGAUAUUAUAUCACACAUGUUUGUUUCGCAUCACACAUAAAGUCUACGGGACAAUGCGCUAUCCUUGGUCCACUGACGGGAAUAAGUUAUGACACAUUGAAUAACGUUUGAAGAGAGCCCUUGGAGCGUCAAUACAUCCGAUAAAGCCCGGACAACAGUACGCCGUUGGCGAUGGACUAAUUAUAUAUAUUUGGAGCACUCUAAGAUUAUUGAAGCUUGCAUAUUGCUAUAAUGAUAGAGUUAUACUAAAACCGUG